GACGAACGCUGGCGGCGUGCUUAACACAUGCAAGUCGAACGGAAAGGCCCUGCUUUUGUGGGGUGCUCGAGUGGCGAACGGGUGAGUAACACGUGAGUAACCUGCCCUUGACUUUGGGAUAACUUCAGGAAACUGGGGCUAAUACCGGAUAGGAGCUCCUGCUGCAUGGUGGGGGUUGGAAAGUUUCGGCGGUUGGGGAUGGACUCGCGGCUUAUCAGCUUGUUGGUGGGGUAGUGGCUUACCAAGGCUUUGACGGGUAGCCGGCCUGAGAGGGUGACCGGCCACAUUGGGACUGAGAUACGGCCCAGACUCCUACGGGAGGCAGCAGUGGGGAAUAUUGCACAAUGGGCGGAAGCCUGAUGCAGCAACGCCGCGUGCGGGAUGACGACCUUCGGGUUGUAAACCGCUUUCGCCUGUGACGAAGCGUGAGUGACGGUAAUGGGUAAAGAAGCACCGGCUAACUACGUGCCAGCAGCCGCGGUGAUACGUAGGGUGCGAGCGUUGUCCGGAUUUAUUGGGCGUUAAGGGCUCGUAGGUGGUUGAUCGCGUCGGAAGUGUAAUCUUGGGGCUUAACCCUGAGCGUGCUUUCGAUACGGGUUGACUUGAGGAAGGUAGGGGAGAAUGGAAUUCCUGGUGGAGCGGUGGAAUGCGCAGAUAUCAGGAGGAACACCAGUGGCGAAGGCGGUUCUCUGGGCCUUUCCUGACGCUGAGGAGCGAAAGCGUGGGGAGCGAACAGGCUUAGAUACCCUGGUAGUCCACGCUGUAAACGGUGGGUACUAGGUGUGGGGUCCAUUCCACGGGUUCCGUGCCGUAGCUAACGCUUUAAGUACCCCGCCUGGGGAGUACGGCCGCAAGGCUAAAACUCAAAGGAAUUGACGGGGCCCCGCACAAGCGGCGGAGCAUGCGGAUUAAUUCGAUGCAACGCGUAGAACCUUACCUGGGUUUGACAUGGAUCGGGAGCGCUCAGAGAUGGGUGUGCCUCUUUUGGGGUCGGUUCACAGGUGGUGCAUGGCUGUCGUCAGCUCGUGUCGUGAGAUGUUGGGUUAAGUCCCGCAACGAGCGCAACCCUUGUUCACUGUUGCCAGCACGUUAUGGUGGGGACUCAGUGGAGACCGCCGGGGUCAACUCGGAGGAAGGUGGGGAUGACGUCAAGUCAUCAUGCCCCUUAUGUCCAGGGCUUCACGCAUGCUACAAUGGCUGGUACAGAGAGUGGCGAGCCUGUGAGGGUGAGCGAAUCUCGGAAAGCCGGUCUCAGUUCGGAUUGGGGUCUGCAACUCGACCUCAUGAAGUCGGAGUCGCUAGUAAUCGCAGAUCAGCAACGCUGCGGUGAGUACGUUCCCGGG
This 1343-nucleotide ribosomal RNA is filed under the name uncultured bacterium. RNAcentral describes it as "16S ribosomal RNA". It matches the Rfam family "Bacterial small subunit ribosomal RNA", at positions 28 to 1378 of the family's 1533-position model. The record is from RNAcentral.